RNAcentral lists this long non-coding RNA (5789 nucleotides) under Pan paniscus (pygmy chimpanzee). RNAcentral describes it as "lncRNA (ENSPPAG00000045443.1)". The record is from RNAcentral. Lineage: Eukaryota; Metazoa; Chordata; Mammalia; Primates; Hominidae.
UGCAGAAAUAAAAACUCUCUUCCCAGCUCAUCUGCUUCUCCUUACUGGGCCGCGAGAAAUAGCAGCCUAACCCUCAGUUUGGUCUGGGAACAACUGUACUCCAGCCUGGGUGACGGAAUGAGACUGUGUCUCAAAAAUAAACAAACAAAAUAAUAAAUUAAAACUAAUUUUAUUAAUUUUUAUUGUUACUAUUUUAUAGUGUCAUAAAUCACAGUUAACCACAAAUUAUUCUUGUUAGAAAAUACACUUUUUUAUGAAAUUUGGCAGGAAAGUUUUUGUUUACAUGGAGUUCCAUAAAGAGUCCUUGAUGUAGUAAGAACUCAUAAGGCAAGCAGGCAGCUGAGGCCUCCUGAGACAGGAAUGCACAUAGCGCUUGGGCCCUGCAGGCGGAGCGGGCUCGGGGACCUGGCGCAGCGCUCUGUCACUCUGGGAAGGAGACGCUAGCCCGCAGGCUGCGGCUGAUGCUGGGGUCCUGCACUAGCGCGAAGGUCAGCUCCAUGCCGGCGAGGCCAGGACGGACUCCAGAGCCUCAGUGUGCUGAGCGCAGGCGCCCAGUACUCGGCGGAGCUGGCGCCCCGCUAGACGCAAGGACUCCACAAGGACCCCAGAGCCAGAUCCCUGCGAGGCCCCGGCAUUCCCUGACCUGGCGGGGAAUCCUGGCCCCCGAUGGUCUACGGCAGCCCCCAGCCGGCUCCCGGGAUGGCUUGCAGCGCCCGCAGGCUUCUCCAGCCUCCAGAACUGCAGGAGCUGCGGUCCAAGCCAGUUCCUGGGCUCCGGGAGAAACUGAGUUUGUCAAGGACGAAACCACAAGAAACUCUGAAAUAAAAGAGGCAAAGAACAUUCAAGGAGACUGAACAGAAGAUGCCAAAAACGUGAUAAAUUCAGCCUGUAGCACAUACUCUGGGACCAUGCAGAUGAUGCACUCAUCCUGACCGCUCUCCUCCGCUGAUGAGGACACUUGACAUUUCAUCAACGAGGCGUUUGAGGACCAGGUAGACGCUCACUGCAAACCUAAGGGCCAUCAGAUGCAGAGGAAGCCACUUGCAAUUGAUUGGUCUCCUUAAACAACUUCCCUUUUAGGCUUCUGACAUGAUCUGUGAUCUUCUGACAUUUGUGUUGCUUCCUUAAUUUCAGUUUUGCUUUGUUGUGACCAAAAAAGUAACUUUCUUGGAAGUCUGACACAAGUUAAAUUUCUCAGUACAAUUUAGCCUUUCAGCUAGAAUGUUAUUGAAAGUUGUUAGUAUUUGAGGUAAAUAUGGAGUAAAUAUUUAGUCUAGUAAUAAGGAGAAAACAUCUUAACAGCUUAGCAGUAGCCUUAGUAGAUAUUGAAAAACCUUGCCACACACCUCUCGUUAAUAUCUGGGUUAUGGUGGAGGAAGUCCAACACAUUCCUCAGGCUACCCAUUGGAGGUAGUGUCUCUGCACAUACUCCCUAGUGAUUUUGGCCAGCAACUCUCUUAUCCUCUGUAUUUCACUCACUGGUUAAUUGAUGUACAUCUUUCAUAUUUUUAACUUAUGUCUCUUUAUUCAUUAGGGCAUUUCCAUUGAAAAAUUUAAAGGGACAUGUUUUUAAAAUGAGAGAGGAUGUAUCAUUUCAUUUUAAAUUUAAAUUACCAUUAAAAUAAGAAAAAGUGCUGUAUUUUGGGUGCUAAGAAGAUGCACGAACAAAUUUAGCUAAGAAGGUCUUUUAAUGCAGCAUGCUGGGCUACCUCCCUUCGCUGGGUCAGGUUGUCUCUGUAUGGCCAUUACAGAAUAAUGCCUUUAUGGAGGUAUAUAUUAAACUAAACUGAAAAUUAGGGAGAUUUAUGUGUCUUCAGAAUGCACCAAAAGCCACUUGAAUUUGCUGAAAUCUGGACCUUAUUAGACACUGACUUAUUUUCUUUUACAUAAUAAUAAUGAAAGAAAAAAAAUGUAUGCCUCCAUUAUGUCAGAAGAAGCCCAUUUUGUGCAGAUAGUUUGGGAUACUCUAUAUCAGAAGAGGAGAUGAAAACGUGUUAAAACAAUUAAUUCAGAAUCCAGGGCACAGGAGCCAUUAGACUGAGGAGUGUCCUGUGCCCUGGAUUUCACGUAAGCAAACCAAAACCCAGCUCAGUGUAAAUGGUCAUAGUCUGGGAUAAUGAAAUAUAAGCUUAACCAAUUUGAAGCCACCAACUAAUCUCUAGCUAGGAACCUUUCACGGGAAUGAUCCAAAUAAGGCUACUGUUCCACUGUAACCAGUUAUGUUUUCUUUGUCUUGCUACUAUGUUCACCUUAUAUAUACUUUCCUUUCAUGCCCUUUCCAAGGAGCCCCAAACCACUUGUGGUCUGGAGCUGCCUAAUUCAUGAAUUGCUGUCUGCUCAAAUGAACUCUUUAAAAUUUUCAUGUGUCUACGUUUAUCUUUAAACAUAAAUCAUCCUUCUACUUUUGCCUUCCCUCUAAGGUGGUUGAGAUCUGAGCUUUGUAAAUGAACAUUAUACAUCAGACAAGACCCAAUUUUCUCACAUACCUUUACUUCUGACUUCUUUAUUUCAUCUUUAUAGUAACUGCCUUUUUAAUGUUUUCUUAUUUCAAAUUGACUUAAAUAAAUCAGCACAUUUUUAAAGUUAGAUGGCAUAUUUUUUAAGUUAUAUGAUUUAAGGCAAAUGUUACUGCAAUUCUAAAAAAUAUAAGGUGGUUACAUACUUGCAACAAGUUUUAAUGAUUUUUUUCAAUUAAAGAUUGUAAAUUACUUCUCCUGAGAGAGACAUUUUUCUCUUACCAAGAAUUUUUCCUCACUCUGCUUUUCUGAGUAUUAUAGCUGUUAUGACUGCAUAAGCCAAGUUGUUUUGACUUAGCUUUAUGAUCUUAAGAAAAUCACUUAAUCUUAAUUCUGUUGCAUUAGUUUAUCUUCUAAAAAAUGGGUUUAAAAAGAGUAGCUUCCUUCUAGUUUUGCUAUGAAGUCUAAUGAAAUUAAUGAACAACAAGCUUGAAGGACAAUAAGCCUUAGCUAUUAUUUUGGCAGCAUGAUGAUAGGAUAUGUUAGAUUUCUUUAUACAGAAUGUCAUCAUUUAAAUUUCUCAUAUCAAAUGGAGGAGACAUUAUUCCCAUGCCUUUUCUCUCAGAACAACAUUUAUUAAUACUCUCAGUUUUCUUACUUGUAUUUUCAAAUUCUAUUGAGAAUAAAAUAGGUCACAUUUGUGUUACUCUUGUCCUACAUUGAUCUACAGAAACUUCAAAGAGGCCCCGGAACUGCUCUGAAAAUAUAUCUCCAUAUGUCCCCAUUUUAGCAAACAUGCAGAUGUCCCUUCAGUGGGUUGCUCUGGAACAAGGUCUGAAAGUCAGUUUCUAGUCCAGAUGAGGAGCGAAGCAGUAAACAAGGCCAAUGAGGCCUGUUCUCAUGGAGCUUGCAUUCUGGUAGGAGGCAGAGAGUACAUGAGUGAAUAAAUACAUCUAAACAUGUCAGCUAGUGAUGCAUACGAAGUAUAUAGUUAAGGCAAUGAGAUGGAGAGGUUCCGGGCCCUUAGGCAGGGCCAUUAGGCCAUCCCACUAUUGCAGUCUUUCUCCUAAGCCAUAGCAUCUUGCUUUUUUAGAUUUUUCAGUAGUUAGGGGGAGCCCAACCAGGCUCUGAGUCUCUCAGGUACCACAAGACAUUCAUCUAGUUCUGGUUCCUUUUGGGAAACUUUCUCUAGGUUUGAAGUGAGGAAGAAGUAUUCCAUUCCUGCUCUAGAUCUCAUGAUUGGGAAACUCACCACACAUGAAUUAAUUCCUGUUUAAAAUUACCUCCAGUCUUCAGUGUCUCUGACAGGAACCAGGAGAUGAGAUUUUGUGCUUUUUGGUAUUGACCGCCAUGGCAGUCUCACAGCUCCUUUUGCUCUGUGAUCUCUACGAAUAUUCUUAGAAAUUCAGUAAAAAUGGAGGGAGAAAUUUCUGAGUGCAAUUUUUACCCCCCAUUGUAUGGGAAUUGGCUGCCUUUUAGACUAAGUCACUCCAGCCCAAGGACGGAGCAUUGAUGGGAACUCUGUAUUUUCACUCUGAUCCCGGGAAACUGCAGACAGAAAGAAAAUAUUUUUUUUGUCAUGCAAAAAUAAUCAACUUCCACAAUAUCAGAGUCUGGGUCCAAUACACUGUGUGGUUCACAGAAGAGGCUCAUUAGAGCUUAAAGGUUCUUUCCCAAGGAAAAGUUUGUUUGACUACUUUACUGAAGCUAGAAAUGCAACAAUGCCGAUUUCUCACGUGUAUCUGUAGUUAUUCUAGAACGAUGCAUACAUGAAUUUCAUACUACAUGCUUCUGCUAUGUUUAAUUCCCUUAUUCCCAAUGACUCAUAUUAUCUUUAUAAAGUCUCUAGAGAAAGAGUACAAGACUCUUUCUGCUUUAGAGAGGUGUCUUGUUAUUGGUAGCAAUAACAAAUAUUGCAGGUAAGCAGAGUCCUAGCAAAACAGGCAGUAUUUUACAUGCAAUCCAUUUAAAAAAUCAAGCGUCUGGAAAUUCCUAGGAGCUAAAGAAAGUUAUCCAAACAAGUAAUAGCAUCUCUAUAAGUGCUGAAUCCCUGAGCCCCCUUUAUAGGGGCUGAGCGAGUGGAAGGAAGCCAGCCCCAGGCAGAACAGGCACUUCAGAAAUUUAAGCAAAUGAACAUCUUUACCUUUAUGCCACAUUGGCUGAAGCUAAAAUUUGUCCCCCAGAGUUACGGCCACCAAAAGAUGUUCAAAACAUAACAUGGACUACAUUUUAAAGGGAAAUCUGUGCAGAAACACCACAAGCAUAAGGUGAGAAUGAGAAUGGAUCCUUUAAGAAAAAAACAAACAAACAAUGAAUUUUACUGCUGGAAAAUACAACUUCUGUAAGGUUACAGUGGUGUAGACACUAAACCUAAAUAGAGACAAGAUUAUGGAGAAAGGUAUACAGAAAAGGAGUUUGUCUUUUCAAAUUUGACAGUGGAGUUCUGUAUCUAAUUAUACACAUGUGUAGGCUCCAACACCCUGGGUGUUGUCAAAUACCUGCUUCUUUAUGAGGAGCUAACAAACUCUUAUUGUGUUCCCCAAUAGACAAACUCUGGCUUCUAUUUUUUUCUCAUUUCCUCUGGAUGGAAUGGUAGAUUCCAAAAUUAUUCUGUACUAUAGGUGUAUUAGUCAGGGUUCUCUAGAGGGACAGAACUAAUAGGAUAUAUGUAAUAGUUUAUUAUAUAUAUUCCAUAUAUAUAUUUUAUAUACCUAAUACAUUAUUAUAUAUACAUAUAAUAAAGGGGAGUUUAUUAAGUAGUAUUAACUCACACAAUCACAAGGUCCCACAAUAGGCUGCCUGCAAGCUGAGGGGAAAGGAAGCCAGUCUGAGUCCCAAAGCUGAAUAACUUGUCCAAUGUUUGAGGGCAGGAAGCAUGCAGCACUGGAGAAAGAUGUAGGCUGAGAGGCUAAGCCAGUCUAGUCUUUUCACGUUCUUCUGUCUGCUUUUUAUUCUGGCUGCAUUGGCAGCUGAUUAGAUGGUGCCCACCCAGAUUGAGGGUGGGUCUGCCUUUCCCUACCCACUGACUCAGAUGUUAAUCUCCUUUGCCAACACCGUUACAGACACAGGCAGGAACACUAUUUUGCAUCCUUCAAUCCAAUCAACUUGACACUCAGUGUUAACCAUCAUAAUGGGAUUAUUCCAAACGUAUGCCCUUAUGGUUCGGAGUCCCUAUACUAUUUUUAACGUAUCUACAUAUUUAGUGCAAAUUAUUCUGCUUGUAAGCUCUUAUAUUUCUUAAUGUUAAAUAGCACAUGCUAUUUACUGAAAUGUGGACAAUAAGCAACUAUUGAAAAGAAAAAAUGAUAUAAAAUUCUAACAAUUAACAUCAAC